This 509-nucleotide ribosomal RNA is filed under the name uncultured bacterium. RNAcentral describes it as "bacterial SSU rRNA". It matches the Rfam family "Bacterial small subunit ribosomal RNA", at positions 30 to 526 of the family's 1533-position model. The record is from RNAcentral.
AUUGAACGCUGGCGGCAUGCCUUACACAUGCAAGUCGAACGGCAGCAUGAUCUAGCUUGCUAGAUUGAUGGCGAGUGGCGAACGGGUGAGUAAUACAUCGGAACGUGCCCUGUAGUGGGGGAUAACUAGUCGAAAGAUUAGCUAAUACCGCAUACGACCUGAGGGUGAAAGUGGGGGACCGCAAGGCCUCAUGCUAUAGGAGCGGCCGAUGUCUGAUUAGCUAGUUGGUGGGGUAAAGGCCCACCAAGGCGACGAUCAGUAGCUGGUCUGAGAGGACGAUCAGCCACACUGGGACUGAGACACGGCCCAGACUCCUACGGGAGGCAGCAGUGGGGAAUUUUGGACAAUGGGGGCAACCCUGAUCCAGCAAUGCCGCGUGUGUGAAGAAGGCCUUCGGGUUGUAAAGCACUUUUGUCCGGAAAGAAAUCGCACUUACUAAUAUUAGGUGUGGAUGACGGUACCGGAAGAAUAAGGACCGGCUAACUACGUGCCAGCCGCCGCCGUAACAC